UGAGAUUACUAAAUGAUCGCGGCCGUAUUUAUACGGGUGAGGAAAGUCCGGGCUUCGUAGGGCAGGAUGCCGGAUAACGUCCGGUGGAGGCGACUCCAAGGCUAGUGCAACAGAAAUAUACCGCCAGAAAUUCUGGUAAGGGUGGAAGGGCAGUUUAAGAGACUACCGCCUUUGUGGUAACACAGAGGGCAUAUGUAAACCCCAUCCGAAGCAAGACCAAACAGAAGCGAUGACGCGGCCCGCCAGCUUCAGGUAGGUUGCUUGAACCUGUCGGUAACGACAGGUCUAGAUAGAUGAUCAUUCACGACAUAACCCGGCUUAUAGGUUUUCUCAAUUA
Molecule: non-coding RNA, 337 nt
Rfam family: Bacterial RNase P class A
About the family: Ribonuclease P (RNase P) is a ubiquitous endoribonuclease, found in archaea, bacteria and eukarya as well as chloroplasts and mitochondria.
Source: Rfam